Molecule: ribosomal RNA, 468 nt
Filed under: uncultured bacterium
Lineage: Bacteria
Description: partial 16S ribosomal RNA
Rfam family: Bacterial small subunit ribosomal RNA
Source: RNAcentral
GACGAACGCUGGCGGCGUGCUUAACACAUGCAAGUCGAACGGAAAGGCCCUGCUUUUGUGGGGUGCUCGAGUGGCGAACGGGUGAGUAACACGUGAGUAACCUGCCCUUGACUUUGGGAUAACUUCAGGAAACUGGGGCUAAUACCGGAUAGGAGCUCCUGCUGCAUGGUGGGGGUUGGAAAGUUUCGGCGGUUGGGGAUGGACUCGCGGCUUAUCAGCUUGUUGGUGGGGUAGUGGCUUACCAAGGCUUUGACGGGUAGCCGGCCUGAGGGGGUGACCGGCGACAUUGGGACUGAGAUACGGCCCAGACUCCUACGGGAGGCAGCAGUGGGGAAUAUUGCACAAUGGGCGGAAGCCUGAUGCAGCAACGCCGCGUGCGGGAUGACGGCCUUCGGGUUGUAAACCGCUGUCGCCUGUGACGAAGCGUGAGUGACGGUAAUGGGUAAAGAAGCACCGGCUAACUACGUG